GGAGGCGUUGGGCGGGCUGGUGCCCCUCCCGAUCUUCAAAAUCGGUGUGGUCCGGGAACCGGGCCAGGCGGGUUCGAUUCCCGUCCGCCUCCGC
Molecule: transfer RNA, 94 nt
Filed under: Streptomyces poriferorum
Lineage: Bacteria; Bacillati; Actinomycetota; Actinomycetes; Kitasatosporales; Streptomycetaceae
Also listed under: 7 other names
Description: tRNA-Sec
Rfam family: Selenocysteine transfer RNA
Source: RNAcentral